AUUUAAUCGCAGGGUCCUGGGAGUAGGACGUGGACAUCUUUGGGGGGGCAUGAUUCUGCCUCCCCCCAGGGAUGAAGCCAGGCUGACUGACUCCAGAGCAGGUGCUUUGGAGCACUCCGUGCCUGGUCCAGUGCAUUCUGGGUGAAGAGGGAGACACAUGAUUGAGAAAAGCCCUUGGGCUGGAGGACUCAGGGCUGAAGGGGAUGAAGUCCAGCUGACUACAGCUAUAGCAGGAAGAGGGGGCUCCGGAUGAGAGGGGUGAGCAAUGGGCAGGUGAGGAGGGAGACACCUCGGGGGAGGUGACCUUUGGGCCACACCUUAAAUGAUGACUGGAAUUCCACAGGUAGCCAUGGAAGAUUUUCCAGGUGCAUGAAGCAUGAAUGUGUGUGGUCAGAAGUGACUGGAGUAUGGGAGAGGAGGGUGAUCGAGCUCUUACCUGGCCACGAGGAUUGGAUGAGCUGGCACCCUGUGGACAGCACCUGAUGAGACCUCACCCUGCCCAAUUCUUUCUUUUUCUUUUCCUUUUUUUAUCUUUUUCUUUUGUGGUGCUGGGGAUUGAAGCCAGGGCUUCGUACAUGCGAGAUAAGCACUCUACCACCCAGCCUCAUGUCCAACUCUGCGUAUUUUAUUUUGAGACAGGGUCUUGCUAAGUUGCCCAAGCUGCUCUUGGACUUGUGAACCUACUUCCUCAGGCUUCAGAGUAGCUGGGAUCACAGGUGCGCAACACCACACCUGGCUCCAACCCCUUCAGUUUACAGCUGGGGAAACUGAGCCCUAGAGGACAGAGUCAGUGGCCUUCUGAAGAUUACAGUGAGAAGAUGCCAGCUGGAGCAUGGCGGGGGCUGGAGCUGAGCAGGGCUCACGGAGGAGGCCAAAGCAGGGCUCCUGCCUUCCCUGCUCCCUGCUGCCACUGCCCCGCCGUUUCAGGUUUCUUUUCUCACCUGCCCUGUUCUCCUGCAAUCUCCCUAGUGGCCGCUGGAUGGUGCCUGGAGCUCUGACUUGGAGCUGGGUCCCAGAGCUCUAACAGGUCCUGAAGAACCUGUCCUUCUCCCUAUGACCAUCUUCUACCUGGACACCAAAGGUUGAGAAUAACAAGGAUAUCAGUGGGCCAGGGCAGAAGUUGCAGGGCAUUCUGGGAUGGAGGGUAGGCCUGGGGAAGACUGCUUGGUUCCCUCAUGCUAAGACUCUUCCCCCAAAUCCCUGCCUAUCCUCCCAGUUGCUGGUCUUUGUCAUCUCACUGCAGAAUGGGAAACAACCUCACGUAGACCUUGGAUACCUUGCAGGACCAGUCAUCUGUGUGUCCCUCUCCUAGGGUACUUGCACUUCAGAAGUAGCCAGGAAAGAAGCAAGCAAGGUAGAUCAAAGGGAGCACUGGUCAUGGUGGGUUUUAGGCAGCUGAGGCCACGUACAGGGAGAGGUAUGGGCUCCUUACAUGACCUCAAGGCAACACUGUGAGGUUAGUGCCAUCACUUUCAUUCAGCCAGCUCCCGGAUGUCCAGGCCUCCUCCCACUUGAUCAGAGUUGUCAGAACUGGGAAGAGUGUUUGAGGAAAAAAUGGAGGUCUUCACUUGACACCAGCUGCCUACAGGCUGAGCUUCUGGGAGAAGAGAGAGGAGUUGGGGAAGGACUGGCAUGAGUGCGCUCUCCACUCAGCCGCAUUCCAGGAGGGCAGGGCGGAGACAGUGGGUGUGUGAGCUGAGGAACAGUAAAGAGGAUAGUGAUGCUUACAGUCACGUGACUAGUGUUUGGGGCAGUGCACAAGGUGAUUUCCCAUCAUUUAUAGCGGAGCCACACAACCACCCUGGGAGGAAGACAAGGCCACGUGGCUACGGCUCUUUCACAGAAGGGAAAAUUCAGGGCCACAGAGGGAUUGUGAUUCACUCAAGUUUACAUGUCGAUAUACUCCCGGUGCUGGGUGGGACCCACCUCCUGGCUCCCAGCUCGGGGACUUGCUGCCUCAUAUGGGCCACAGAUGUGGCUGGGCACAGAAUGGGGCCUUUAGCGGGACUGAAGCUCAGCCACGCUCCUUCCCCAGCCUCAAGCUGGCUGCCACGCAGAGGGUUUGGACUGGAGGUUUGGGAUGUCAGAGGACAGGGAGGCUUGUUGGAGUGGGAGGAUCAGCUGUGUGUCCUCCAGGCUUCCUUGGCCCAUCAUGCUGCAUGACCUGUGGCUGCUGCCACCCCAGGAGCCCAUUCCAUGGCUCCUUCCCUCUAUGUGUGUGUGUGUGUGUGUGUGUGUGUGUGUGCGCGCGCGCGCGCGCACACCCAUCUCUCCAAAGGCCCUCUCCCUUGCUGGUUCCUGUACACACCCUUCUUCCUAAUCAGCCUCAAGCUGUGCGGCCCCUCUGCUCAGACCUCUGAAACAGACCUCCCUGGUGAGCACCCACCUGUGCCUGCUCCGCACAGGAGCUCUUGGCUCCGUUUCCAUCUGAGCCACACUUGGACCCUUCCAGGUGCAGCUCAUAUUCCCCGGUACCUUCCCCUCUCUGUUUUUGAAAUGAGUUGUGGCUCAGGGUUGAAGCUGCUUUCUGGAUGCCACAAGGAAGGAGUGCUGUGACUUUCAGAGAGGGAAGCAGAACUAUGUCACCUUAAUUUGCCGUCUUUAACCAGACGUUCUCAUA
RNAcentral lists this long non-coding RNA (2620 nucleotides) under Marmota monax (woodchuck). The record is from RNAcentral. Lineage: Eukaryota; Metazoa; Chordata; Mammalia; Rodentia; Sciuridae.